AGCUGGGUGCCUCUGACUUACCAUCUCUUAUAAGGCUACAAUCAAGGUACUGGCCAGGGCUGGAGUCAUCUCAAGUCUGGAAAACCAGUCUCUGAUUUCAGUGAAGUUUUGCUACAUGGCUGUUCUCAAGUCCUUAAAGGAACAACAAAAAGAAAUGAGAUUUCACUGUAGCAAGUAAGAUUCUGGAUGGAUAGAAAGUGAGGGCCAUCAACAUGAUGAAAGUCUGGAUAGCUAAAAUGACAGGUAGUGGACAAAAGACAAAGCCAAUCUAUGAACCCAGGCCAAAUUUUCAAAGUCAUGUAAAAACA
Molecule: long non-coding RNA, 308 nt
Organism: Balaenoptera ricei (Rice's whale)
Lineage: Eukaryota; Metazoa; Chordata; Mammalia; Artiodactyla; Balaenopteridae
Exons: 3
Source: RefSeq, a predicted model, not a curated record